This 608-nucleotide long non-coding RNA is filed under the name Salvia miltiorrhiza (redroot sage). RNAcentral describes it as "long non-coding RNA (SMIL_LNC002071)". Lineage: Eukaryota; Viridiplantae; Streptophyta; Magnoliopsida; Lamiales; Lamiaceae. The record is from RNAcentral.
UAUUUUGUAAUAUUUGUGUAACAAUGCAUAUUUAUGUAUUUCGGAUUGUUAAUGUUGUUAAUGAUGUGUAUCCAUCUAAUGAAGACAAUGUAUCCUCUAAAAAUGCUGAGCAACUACAGUUGGGAGAAUUGAGGUGAAGACAAGUACAUAUAUUUUCAAUAAGACGUGUGAAGAAACCAAAAGCAUAUAGAAUGUUAAGAUUCUGGACAUGGGGUGCCUUUAGGAGCAAGAUAAAACCAUCUAAGAUAAAAGAAUUAAUAAGCUUAAUAUCAGGUAUGCAUUCUUUCUGCAUAAUAUUGCAGUAAUUAGCUGUUCAUACAUUAACUUGCCGAAUUUUGAUUUGACCAGCAUUGCAACUGUGACCAAUUAGUUCUCCGAUUCACAGAUGAUUGGAGUUAGUGGAACAUGUUUUGUGUUUAAGGUGACUUUAUUUAGAGCUAAAUCAUUUUUAUUUUCCCAUAUAGUAUUAGAUAGCAUGGCUAAGAAAUAUAUUCCCAUGUAUACUAAUUCUAGUAUUACUUUAUUUAGAUUGUAUUACCAACAGGGCAAACAGUUGCAGUUAAAAGAGGUUUGCUUGAUCUUAAUGAGUUCAAAAAUGGACUGCCGAA